GGUUAAGCGACUAAGCGUACACGGUGGAUGCCCUGGCAGUCAGAGGCGAUGAAGGGCGUGCUAAUCUGCGAUAAGCGCCGGUAAGGUGAUAUGAACCGUUAUAACCGGCGAUACCCGAAUGGGGAAACCCAGUGUGAUUCGUCACACUAUCAUUAACUGAAUCCAUAGGUUAAUGAGGCGAACCGGGGGAACUGAAACAUCUAAGUACCCCGAGGAAAAGAAAUCAACCGAGAUUCCCCCAGUAGCGGCGAGCGAACGGGGAGGAGCCCAGAGCCUGAAUCAGCAUGUGUGUUAGUGGAAGCGUCUGGAAAGGCGCGCGAUACAGGGUGACAGCCCCGUACACAAAAGCGCAUGUGCUGUGAGCUCGAUGAGUAGGGCGGGACACGUGGUAUCCUGUCUGAAUAUGGGGGGACCAUCCUCCAAGGCUAAAUACUCCUGACUGACCGAUAGUGAACCAGUACCGUGAGGGAAAGGCGAAAAGAACCCCGGCGAGGGGAGUGAAAAAGAACCUGAAACCGUGUACGUACAAGCAGUGGGAGCCCCACCACUAAGCCAGUGGUGAACUCCACAUCCGCAUCCUUUGCUGAGGAUACGGUUAACGGAGCGAAAGCGACGUUCAACCGCAAAACAAGCAGAGGGGGCUUAGUGGUGGGGUGACUGCGUACCUUUUGUAUAAUGGGUCAGCGACUUAUAUUCUGUAGCAAGGUUAACCGAAUAGGGGAGCCGGAGGGAAACCGAGUCUUAAUUGGGCGUUAAGUUGCAGGGUAUAGACCCGAAACCCGGUGAUCUAGCCAUGGGCAGGUUGAAGGUUGGGUAACACUAACUGGAGGACCGAACCGACUAAUGUUGAAAAAUUAGCGGAUGACCUGUGGCUGGGGGUGAAAGGCCAAUCAAACCGGGAGAUAGCUGGUUCUCCCCGAAAGCUAUUUAGGUAGCGCCUCGUGAAUUCAUCUCCGGGGGUAGAGCACUGUUUCGGCUAGGGGGCCAUCCCGGCUUACCAACCCGAUGCAAACUGCGAAUACCGGAGAAUGUUAUCACGGGAGACACACGGCGGGUGCUAACGUCCGUCGUGAAGAGGGAAACAACCCAGACCGCCAGCUAAGGUCCCAAAGUCAUGGUUAAGUGGGAAACGAUGUGGGAAGGCCCAGACAGCCAGGAUGUUGGCUUAGAAGCAGCCAUCAUUUAAAGAAAGCGUAAUAGCUCACUGGUCGAGUCGGCCUGCGCGGAAGAUGUAACGGGGCUAAACCAUGCACCGAAGCUGCGGCAGCGAACGUAUCACUUAAAGCGAUUCAGCGGGUUACGAUUGACGGAGCGAAGCGACGUCAAAGCGUAUACAAAGUCGAGUCGGUUUAAGGAUACGUUCGUUGGGUAGGGGAGCGUUCUGUAAGCCCGUGAAGGUGGCCUGUGAGGGUUGCUGGAGGUAUCAGAAGUGCGAAUGCUGACAUAAGUAACGAUAAAGCGGGUGAAAAGCCCGCUCGCCGGAAGACCAAGGGUUCCUGUCCAACGUUAAUCGGGGCAGGGUGAGUCGACCCCUAAGGCGAGGCCGAAAGGCGUAGUCGAUGGGAAACGGGUUAAUAUUCCCGUACUUGGUGUUACUGCGAAGGGGGGACGGAGAAGGCUAUGUUGGCCGGGCGACGGUUGUCCCGGUUUAAGCGUGUAGGUGUGUGUUCCAGGUAAAUCCGGUUCACUUUAACACUGAGGCGUGACGACGAGGCACUACGGUGCUGAAGCAACAAAUGCCCUGCUUCCAGGAAAAGCCUCUAAGCAUCAGGUAACACGAAAUCGUACCCCAAACCGACACAGGUGGUCAGGUAGAGAAUACCAAGGCGCUUGAGAGAACUCGGGUGAAGGAACUAGGCAAAAUGGUGCCGUAACUUCGGGAGAAGGCACGCUGACACGUAGGUGAAGUGAUUUACUCAUGGAGCUGAAGUCAGUCGAAGAUACCAGCUGGCUGCAACUGUUUAUUAAAAACACAGCACUGUGCAAACACGAAAGUGGACGUAUACGGUGUGACGCCUGCCCGGUGCCGGAAGGUUAAUUGAUGGGGUCAGCGCAAGCGAAGCUCCUGAUCGAAGCCCCGGUAAACGGCGGCCGUAACUAUAACGGUCCUAAGGUAGCGAAAUUCCUUGUCGGGUAAGUUCCGACCUGCACGAAUGGCGUAAUGAUGGCCAGGCUGUCUCCACCCGAGACUCAGUGAAAUUGAACUCGCUGUGAAGAUGCAGUGUACCCGCGGCAAGACGGAAAGACCCCGUGAACCUUUACUAUAGCUUGACACUGAACAUUGAGCCUUGAUGUGUAGGAUAGGUGGGAGGCUUUGAAGUGUGGACGCCAGUCUGCAUGGAGCCGACCUUGAAAUACCACCCUUUAAUGUUUGAUGUUCUAACGUGGACCCGUAAUCCGGGUUGCGGACAGUGUCUGGUGGGUAGUUUGACUGGGGCGGUCUCCUCCUAAAGAGUAACGGAGGAGCACGAAGGUUGGCUAAUCCUGGUCGGACAUCAGGAGGUUAGUGCAAUGGCAUAAGCCAGCUUGACUGCGAGCGUGACGGCGCGAGCAGGUGCGAAAGCAGGUCAUAGUGAUCCGGUGGUUCUGAAUGGAAGGGCCAUCGCUCAACGGAUAAAAGGUACUCCGGGGAUAACAGGCUGAUACCGCCCAAGAGUUCAUAUCGACGGCGGUGUUUGGCACCUCGAUGUCGGCUCAUCACAUCCUGGGGCUGAAGUAGGUCCCAAGGGUAUGGCUGUUCGCCAUUUAAAGUGGUACGCGAGCUGGGUUUAGAACGUCGUGAGACAGUUCGGUCCCUAUCUGCCGUGGGCGCUGGAGAACUGAGGGGGGCUGCUCCUAGUACGAGAGGACCGGAGUGGACGCAUCACUGGUGUUCGGGUUGUCAUGCCAAUGGCACUGCCCGGUAGCUAAAUGCGGAAGAGAUAAGUGCUGAAAGCAUCUAAGCACGAAACUUGCCCCGAGAUGAGUUCUCCCUGAGACUUAGAGUCUCCUGAAGGAACGUUGAAGACGACGACGUUGAUAGGCCGGGUGUGUAAGCGCAGCGAUGCGUUGAGCUAACCGGUACUAAUGAACCGUGAGGCUUAACCUU
RNAcentral lists this ribosomal RNA (3088 nucleotides) under Salmonella enterica. Its description in RNAcentral is "23S ribosomal RNA". It matches the Rfam family "Bacterial large subunit ribosomal RNA". Lineage: Bacteria; Pseudomonadati; Pseudomonadota; Gammaproteobacteria; Enterobacterales; Enterobacteriaceae. RNAcentral also lists the same sequence under 8 other names. The record is from RNAcentral.